Molecule: transfer RNA, 66 nt
Filed under: Notocrater youngi
Lineage: Eukaryota; Metazoa; Mollusca; Gastropoda; Lepetellida; Pseudococculinidae
Description: tRNA-Val
Source: RNAcentral
UGGAGUAUAGCAUAGGUUGAAUGUUUCCCGCUUACAUUGGGAGGAUGGCUUUGUGGCCUGCUCUAA